CAGAAGUUAGCCGGNGCUUUUUCUAGUCGGUACCGUCAUGAAAUCAUAGCUAUUUACUAUGACUCUUUCUUUCCGACUAAAAGAGCUUUACAACCCGAAGGCCUUCUUCACUCACGCAGGCAUGGCUGGAUCAGGCUUUCGCCCAUUAGUCCAAAAUUCCCCACUAGCUGCCUCCCGUAGGAAU
RNAcentral lists this ribosomal RNA (184 nucleotides) under uncultured bacterium. RNAcentral's name for it is "partial 16S ribosomal RNA". The record is from RNAcentral.